GCGAACGCUGGCGGCAUGCUUAACACAUGCAAGUCGCACGGCGGGGGCAACUCCGUCAGUGGCGGACGGGUGAGUAACGCGUAGGAAUCUAUCCUUGGAAAUGGGGGACAACCGUGGGAAACUACGGCUAAUACCGCAUGAUGCCUGAGGGCCAAAGACGAAAGUCGUUUGAGGAGGAGCCUGCGUCUGAUUAGGUAGUUGGUGGGGUAAAGGCCUACCAAGCCUGCGAUCAGUAGCUGGUCUGAGAGGAUGAUCAGCCACAUUGGGACUGAGACACGGCCCAAACUCCUACGGGAGGCAGCAGUGGGGAAUAUUGGACAAUGGGCGAAAGCCUGAUCCAGCAAUGCCGCGUGUGUGAAGAAGGUCUUCGGAUUGUAAAGCACUUUUGGCAGGGACGAUGAUGACGGUACCUGCAGAAUAAGCCCCGGCUAACUUCGUG
This 439-nucleotide ribosomal RNA is filed under the name uncultured bacterium. RNAcentral describes it as "bacterial SSU rRNA". It matches the Rfam family "Bacterial small subunit ribosomal RNA", at positions 29 to 507 of the family's 1533-position model. The record is from RNAcentral.